GUACACUAACUAAGGAAGUAGACGCACGGCAAGCAUUAUUUGAACCAUCAGCUGACUGGCGGACACUAUGACGUCACUAGUGUUUAUUGUGGUGGCUUGUGGUGCGAGUGAGUCGGUUGUCCUGGAAGUGUUGGCAGAUAUUUAUCAGGUUACUAUACUUAUGGGCUUAAGUGCUACUUUUUUUUGGUGAUAUGGGCAAGGCGAGAGUGUGUGCAGUGUAUGGAUGUACUCCAGGAAAGGAUACAGACCUUAGAUAUUACAAAUUUCCGAAGGAUGAUAGCCUUGCAGAACAGUGGGUCCACAAGUGUUGCCGAUCAGAUAAGAUCAAUAGAAAAACGCAGUAAUUUGUGCGACUCACUUCAGCAAAGCCCAGAUUCGAAGGAAUCUGAAAAGUGAACUUUUGAAUUGCACAAUUCCACGGAAUUGGCGAAAUUCAAAAGAAAAUGCAGUGCCUGAUCAGUAUCUGCCUUCACGGAAAGGAUACCAACAGAAUGGGAUUGACCUAACUUCAGCUCUAAAAGAAUCCAGCCGCCAUAAUCGAGCUGAAAAAAGGAAGCUGAGAAAGAUGAUUCAAUAUAUUUUAUCCACUCAAGGUGAUAGUUGUGACCUGGGGAGUGGCCAAGAAAUAUGUGAUCGGGAGAACACAGCACCAUCAACACCAUGUGAU
This is a long non-coding RNA of Portunus trituberculatus (swimming crab), 667 nucleotides long. RefSeq lists it as uncharacterized. The transcript is spliced from 3 exons. Lineage: Eukaryota; Metazoa; Arthropoda; Malacostraca; Decapoda; Portunidae. The record is from RefSeq and is a predicted model, not a curated record.